Miniopterus natalensis is the source of this 641-nucleotide long non-coding RNA. RefSeq lists it as uncharacterized. The record is from RefSeq and is a predicted model, not a curated record. NCBI's taxonomy places the organism in Eukaryota, Metazoa, Chordata, Mammalia, Chiroptera, Miniopteridae.
GGGGGGGCACUCUCGGGCUGAGCAGGAUGAAUUUCCAUUACAGACUAGAGUUUCUGACGUCUCCGUGACGCCACUGCUUGGAACUGACCCAGUCCGGGGUAUGGGGGGCCGGCGAGAGUCCUCCCGGCCUUUGGUGACUCAUUGGUUUCUUUACAGGCCCCGGGUUCUCGGGCGAGUCUGCAGCGCCUGGAGGGGCUUUAGGAUGUCCUCCGGAGUGUUAUUUUUGAGUAAAGCAUGAGUUCUGGAAGCCCCGCCUGGGGCAGUGCCCCUUCACAGAGUUUUCACCUGGGAGACUGAAAACCUGAGGUUACUUCUGUUGGAGAAGGGCUGUUGAGAUGCCUGGGAUGCCUAGGUAAUUAAUGGUUCCUGCCACUUCAGGCUAUGACAGGAAGAGCCACAGUCCUUCUUUCUGCUAUGGGUUUUGCUGAUACAAAGGAUACUCUGUAUCUGGUGUUGGGCAGAUCCGAGGAACUUACAUCGUUUCCAUCAUUAGCCCUCGUGAGCAGCUGUCAACAGAGAAAAAAAACUGCCUAGAAAUGUGGGGACACUUAAAUUUAUCAGUUAGCUUUUACUUCUUUACUUUGUCUUAAACAAGUACUUGGUUUUAUCAAAAGGAUUCCAAUAAAAUAUAUUAAAGCAAA